RNAcentral lists this long non-coding RNA (7718 nucleotides) under Hordeum vulgare. RNAcentral describes it as "long non-coding RNA (HVUL_LNC001360)". The record is from RNAcentral. Lineage: Eukaryota; Viridiplantae; Streptophyta; Magnoliopsida; Poales; Poaceae.
UUAAGAUGUACUGAAAACAAAAAGGACAAAUAACACAUGAUAUUUUUUUGGGAUGAGCGUGAAUGCUGGUGCAGCCUUGGCGGUCGUUGUUGACUAGACCGCAAAUACGAUACCUUGCGCGCCUGUCAAUCGUACAGUAUGAUACCGAUGGACACCAUCAUACGUUAGCUUGGGAAAGUAAUUUUCUUGAGUCUGGCUUCUUCCUCAAUGUAGUGCAUUUUUUACUAUCUCUUUCUUCGAGUCAACUUCCUCUUUUUUGUCUUAUUCCGAUCUGAAGUGGGCUCGUGGCGGCUUGGACGGCGAUCGAAGCAGCAACAAGAAGCGGAGUGGGGCGAGGCAAGAGCGCGGUUGGUGGGAGAGGCUAGUCAUGACGGUCGAGGGCGCAAGGAAAUCCAUGGGAGAGGCGACAGCGGCGAGGCGUAUGGCCGCAGCAUGCGCGGCGGGCUAGGCUCCCAGAAGUGGCAGGGCGGGCAAGGUCGUGGCGGCGCGCUGAUGCAGGAGGCGGAGCGAGGCGCACGGUGGCAGGCACGGCAUGCCGGGCGAAGCGAGGCCGCGGAGGCUCGGACGCGAGGCAACGGAGGCCGGCGGCGCGGCGGCUUAAGGCAAGGCGGCAGAUGCGGGGCGAAGCAAGGUCGCCGUGGCUCAUAAGCGAGGCCGACGGAGCGGCGGUUCAAGGCGAGGCGGCGGAUGCGAGGAGCACCACUCGAUGUUGAGGCCAAUGACAAGGGAGCCUAGCCACUCGCCAACCACGUCGCCGAGGGAGGUCAGGAUGGCGCGGAUGUGGUCCUGGUCGAACAUCACGCUGUACUGGUCUUUGUAAGAGUCAGUCACCAUGGAAGUUGCCAUCUCGUGACUCUCAACCCCAUUUUCCAAGUAGGAACUCCUUUGUAUAGAUCAGAAAUCUAGGAUAGAUAUAUCACGCUAAUUCAAGAUUUAGUGUCGGUGACAGAAUGUGUGUUCGUGGUCGUGGUCGGUUCUAUUAUAGAAUGAAUGCAAAUGGACAAAUAAAGAGUCCAAAUGAUCCACUAGUUCCAUUGCAAUGUGGGAGACCCACUUAUUUACAAGUUGAAGGAGUGUGUUGGGGAGACACCUUUUUCCCAACAUACACCUCCUGGGAGGCAUCCCUCCCAUACAAUUGAUCACAUGUUUUAUUUCUCAACACUCUCCCUUGAUCAAUUCGUCAUCUGUAUAUUGCAAACUGAAAACUCCUCCAAAAAUCCUGUGGGAAAAAUUAAGGAGAAACCUUACCAUAAUAUGCCAUCAAAAACUCCUUUAAAACCCUGUGGGAAAAAUAUAAGGAGAAACCAAUAUGGCAUACAUCCGCACAUGUAUUUAUAUUGUCCCGUUAAAAACCUUAUAUGAGAAACCAACAUGGAAAACUCAUAAAGGGCAAAAGAGUACAAUAUGAAUAAUCUGAAGAUCACCAAUAGGUUAAGCUUGGGAUUUUACUCCCCUUGAUCCUGGCAAACAUCAAUGUUGUCUCAUACCAAUUCCAUUAACUAGAUUCUGGAAUAUAAACGUUGGUACAGACAUUGUGAAUAUCACAAUAAUUUGUUUGCAUAUUAUACUAUUGCAUUUCUGUAAUUUGUGAGGAUAAAUAUAACCCAUAAGCAAUACAAGUGACAUUACCUUGUUAGAUAAUGAUAAUUGAUUCCAAUGAAUCUUCACAUGAUCUCACAUGUGACUAGUCAUUCUGCGAAGACAUGCAUAUCCUGUCAGGCUUCAAAAUAUUUAUGGUAGAAUGAUCACAGAAAUGACCCAUUUAGAGUCUAUUCUGAAGGCUUCCCAUAGAAAAAUCUUCCAGUAAAUCCAGUCUUUGAUAUGGCAUUGUUGGGAUCAGAUUAUCAGCCACUAUCAGGAUAUCACACCAUGGUCCCAUCUUGAUUUCCUCAAUGGAAUCUAUCAAGACCUUUUGUGUCUUGUACAUAUCCGAGGAUAUUCCUUACACCAACCAUUAUACCUUUUAUUGGGGAUGCACUCUCUAUAAAUUUCCAACAAAUAUAUUGUGAGGACUGACUUACUUUGCAAUUUAUAUGAGUGCUCCAAUGAUACUCUGAUACGGAACUUGAUGUCCAUUAUCACUUUACCAUCUCCCCUAGGUUUGAAUGGGCUUGUGUCCCAUGCCAGGUAUAAUAUGACCAUAUGUGUCUUCGGUAAGAUAUAUCCAUAUUGAACUUUUUCAAUAUUUCUAGAUAUAUGACGACUGACAUACAUUUAUUCCCAAGGGAAUGUGCUCAAGCUAUAAACUUAGCACCAUUUGAUUUGAUCCAAAUAUCCCUCUCAAAAUGAUUGUGUGUAUCUAAUGUGUCAUGUAUAGACAUUGAUAAUAAGACCAUCCACAUCAAUAACAUGAUGUAAAUCCAAUUAAGGAUAUCUUCAUGAAUACACAUCAACAAUCAUUAGUGUCAGAGGAGUCUUUAUCAAGGAGUAACUCACUUAGUCGGUUGUACCACACGACUCUCCGACAUCUUCAGAGUUAUAGGAUGACUUCUGAAGCUUCACACACGUUGCUACUUAUCAUUGGAUUCGCAAUAUUAAGCCAUUUCAUGACUUUAAUAUAUAUAUCCAAACUGAAUGACCCAUGUGAGUAUGUAGCAAUUACAUAUAUCAACUGUAUGGAUUUGUACUGCCAAUUCAGUAUCGAAACAUAAUUCCACUCAUACCGAGAAGGUAUGCUACAUCAUAACUGAUCUCGGGUCUCUGCGGAAACCCAUGUGCUACAAGCCUCGCUGUCUCACCACCUCAUCUAUUUUGUUUCUGAACGAAAAAUCACUUCUCUUCACUACGGAAGAUACUUAUGAGGAGCAGGUUUUACUAUGGUAAACACCUCUCUUUUGAUGAGCGAGUGCUACUCUUUUUAAUUGCUUCCUUUCAUUUGAACCAAUAUAAGUGCCAACGACACUCGCCAUGGAUUUUGGUUCAGGGCCCAAAAGGAUUUCAACAAUUAUCAAGAAGAAUUUUAGGUCAACACAUGUAGACUUCAAUAUACGAUUCUCAUGAAUCAAUAUCAUUAGUGGAAUUCUCAUUAUGCCUCUUAACUCGUUUUGAUUUCCCACAACAACGGAGUCAAGGUGUUUCGAUUUCCCAACACCAAAAAUAUGUGUGCACAUCGGUGCUGUGCUAUGGAUGACGCACAUCCACCAGGUGUCAUUCGACCCAAGGUUGAAUCACAUUUACUAAUUGAGGAGAACAUUUCCUCUAAUUCUACGGAAACAUAUGAGAACUUAAUCCCAUGUUACUAGUAUUCUCCCCCUCUUGCUCUCAUCUGGGGAUACAAGUGGUUAUUAGGUACCUCCACUCGUUCUGGUACGAAAAUUCAGUGACACCUUUGUCAUGAGUAAAUGUAUAUGGCAGAUUAUUUGCAAUAUGUUGCAAAUUCUCAUAAUCUGAAUCUCUAGUUCAGAUUCUUAAAUACAUGGACAAAAUGUCUAGGACAUUUCUUUUGCAUUUUCCUGGCAUUCUAUGCGAUAUAUUUCUCCCCCUAAUGCCAGAAAAUGUCCUUAUUGCAGAAAGAAUCAACAUACAAGCUGCAAAUAACUCCCUCACUAGGGUUAAGGUAUUUGACGGAUUAACGAUCAUACCACAGUUAUUCCUCACAUAGAUCCCAAAUAUAUAUGAAGGCCAUAAUGUACGCUUGGGUGGUGAUAUCGGUGUGCAACCGAGUUAUCACAGAUGGGAAAUACUUCAAUGAUUUCCACGUACGGACUGUGAGGGGAUACAAUAUUAAAUGCAUUUGAUCUCAUUUAGACCAAAUAUGCGGCAUGUGAGACCACAUGUUACCAACAACAAAAUGUUGGAUCAUCAUAGUUGUGUAGUAAUGGCCAUGCAACUUGACUCCUUUUGACAAGAGAUCUAGCCACACCAUUGUGGGUAGGUACACGACGUGCUGAAUAUGACCAUGAAUUUCUCGUGAAUCAAAUUCAAGGAUAUUUCCAUUCCUAUGGAAUUAUCCCAUGCAUAUAAUCAUUUGCUCCAAAUUCGUCAAAUUGAGCACUUAAUUCAGUAAACACAUGGUUUUGUGUGGAUGAUACACACCUAAGACCAUUUUCUAGAUGUGUCUAUGAAUACCAUGAAGUACCAAAUUAACCCAUGCAAUGGUUGAAUAUUUUGCUUCAUUCUUGAAUCCGUUCAAGAAUAAUGAGUGGUGCAUUCAAAUUUUAAGGUGAGAGUGCCUUAAAAUUAAUUCCACUAUGGCACAUGUAGUGCACAUAAAAUCUUUUGAUUGUCGGGAAUAUUGCAACUUUGUUGUGGACAAUAGAAUUAUCAAUAAUUUUGUCUAAUCGUCCUCAUACCAGACAUGUAAAGGAGGAAAAAAUUAUUGUAUGCGCAACAAUAUUGUGUAUGAAUGAUUCAUGCACUCAGUUCCUCACAACUAUCAUGUCCCGUGGACAAGAUGUUGCAAAUUAUACCACCUGUAGUAGUACAAUUAUAGGCUAAUUAUAUCUUGGGAUAACUAGGAGACUACAUAAGAUCUCCAAAAUAUCUUGGGAAUUUCAUUCCACAAGUAUAUCAUCAAUGUAGAGGAGUGCAUUCUCCUUCUACCAUGCCAGAAUAUUUUCUGGUUGUCCAUUUGAAGUAGAACUUCAAACUUAUCCCAUUUAACUCAUUCGCCUUCUCCAAUGAGUCGGUGACAUGAUUCAACCCAAAGCUUCAUAGUUUGGUAAUCAUUAGUAUGAUAUUCCGUACAACCACCCAUUUGACAAACUUGGGAGUUGUCAUUGUGAUCAUUUAUUUAAAUGACCCAUUCUUUUGUGAGAUAUUCACUCCAUUUAUGCUUGUCUCUUUUUUACACUUUACUUACAACUCCUCGUGGUUCCCUAACCACAAAAUUGCUUAGUACUAUAAGCACUAGCACAAAUUUCAGGUAAUGGUAUAACACCCGUUCGGGUGUACCAGAUGAAUCUUCACAAGAAUUUUAUCAUAUUUUUACCCUGAAAGGAAGAUGAUAUUUCUUUUACCAUCAUAGGAGAAUGUAAAGUGUCGUAGGGACAUACAAUCAGAUCAAGAUCUGAGACUUCCUUAUCACAUAACCUCAACUUAGUGUUGGUAUAUAGACAACAGAAUUAUAAGCAUCAAUGGACUUGAAGUCCUUAAUACAAAUGAAUACUCAUUCGAGUGAUGCUUAUGAGAACAUGUCUCUCCUUAAGGUGGUACCAAAGGGAAAAUGAAUAUUCAUCAUCCAUUAAAUACACGGUUUGAGAACCAAGACAUUGCGAUGUCACAUAAAUGAAAAUUUGCAUAUUUCAGGCAUUUAUAAAAUAGCCAUGACAUUCUCUGAAGGUGGAAUUUCUAUGGCGACAAGGCCACGGGUUGACAAAAUCAUUAAUGUCAAUGACCCAUUUUCAAUAGUUACUUCCACCUUAUGUCACCACAUCGCAUUUCCUUCCGAAAAAGGUCAGCCAUAUAUUGCCUGAAAUGCUCAUGCAUUAAUUUACCUUUAGUAAAUUAAGUACAAUGAAAAUGCUAUGGCUAAGCAUAAUCACUAUCAUGGUGAUUCUUAGUGACUCAUAGGGUAAGCCUUCCACAUGAAGAUAAUCACCAUUAUGUGGUGUAGAUCUUCAAAUUAAAUGUAGUCAUCUCAUAAAGGAUAAACAUUUAAUUUCCAUAAAACACAUAGAGGUAAUCAACCACCUAGUAGUGCCUCACUCUUAUGGAUAGUUGCAAUCAAUCAUAGCCUUCACAACCUUAUGUUAUUUAAAACACAUGAAGGUAAUUACCACGAAGUGGCAUAAACCUCUCAGUUGUGCAUGAAAUUUAACUCAUUGCUACGACUACAUCUCAUAAGUUGUGUACUCAUGGAAGGUGUUCACCAAAAUAUGCAAGUAUUUUGCAUAAUUAUCUUCAUAGCAUACUAUGUAGCAUAGUCGCCACUAAUUCCUUGGAUUCCUCUCCUGAUGGAGCAUGUGACACUGUAGUCACAACCAAUGACAAAUGCUAUGAAAUUGAUAAGUAUUUGGAAAAACAUCAUGAAGGUAGGCACAAACGUUGUAGGCCUCAUAAUGAUUAUGUCAUAAGUUUUUUGGCUUCACUUUGCUUUGAACACAUGGAAAUAAUCACUACUGAGUAGUGUAGACCUCAUUCUUAUGGAGCUUCUCACAAUAUUAUGUUUUAAAACACAUUGACGGUAAUCACCACGUGGUGGUGUAGACCUCACAGUUGUGAACAAAAUAUAAUUCGUUGCCACAAAAACAAUCCAUAAGUUGUGUGCAAAAUUGAAGGUAGUCAUUAUGUCGAAACGACAUAAUAUAGACCUUACAAUAACAUUGAGUAAUAUGCAUUUAAGCAGCAUGUCUCGUUUGUCAAUUUCUUGUGACAAAUGUCAAUUUGACAUAGUCAGGUAGUGUCAUACACUUCACUACCUCAUGUUUCCAAAUUUGCAAUUAAAUUCCAUAUUCUAUGUGAAUAAUGGAAUCAACAUAUUGGUUUGAAAUAGUAUUACUCAUGUAAUAAAUAAAUGCAGAAGUAUGAAAUAUACUUGUGUAACAUAUAUGAGGACUUGUGGCCUCAAACGUUUAUUUUACAUGAUGUAAAAUGAUGCAUAAACAAUUAUUAUGCAAUUUAGCAAGACCCAAGGAUCUAUAAUAUGUAUUUGCUCUGAAGCCUUACGCAUAAAACGCAAAUAACAAUAACCUUAUAGUAAAAUUGAUGAAAACAGCAAGUCUGGUGGCAAAUGUAAAGUCCAAUAAGACUGAUGACUUUAUCAUAAAUUUUUCAUAAGUCCAAAGACUAAACUAUAAGAUCUGAAAGACAUGAGCCUGAUUCAGAAAUUCCAAAAACUUAUGACGAGUUACCAUAGAACUCGAGGGUUGAUUUUGAAAAUCAUGGAAUAAAUAAGAUUUUGCCUUGCUUUCCCGUCGGUUCCAUCCCAGGAAAGAUUUUUUAACUCCUACCGGCUGACGUACAAAUCCAUGCUAGAGGAAGUUGUUGGGAAUGCAGAUCCUUACCGGCCGUAGCGAACGCCACCAGUAUACGAAGGGUGGUUGUCUCGGUCGCUGCCAGGCCGAGAGACGACGAGGCCGGCAUCAUGUCGCACACAAGCAGGAAUGGUCGUGUGCGCUGUAGCGUUCCUCGCCGGGAGCCACGGACGCGCAGCCGCUGUCAAUCAUGGCGUGAUCCACCACCGGUCAAGGUGUCUCCGUAUUGGCGUACUCAAUACGGACAAGUAGUACAUGCAUAAAAUGAAUAAGAAGAUACAUGAUUAGAUCUUUCGUGAUAAUCACAAAUGACAAACAAGUUGAUUCAUGUAUGGGCGUUGUUGCCGCACUGGCCUUCGCCAUCAGUUUCAGAAAAUUAGCCGCUAGAGACGUGCAGCCAUGCUUGCCGCCUGCCUCUUUGUGGCUGAUUCAGUGAAUCAAUUCUAGCAUAAGGCAGAAUGGAUGAGAUUCCUUUUAAUCACAAAACGACAAAACGACAAAUGGAAUUAACAUUCUUAUGAUUCUUUUCCUGUACGAAUGCAUGCAUGGACCAUGGCGUUGCCGUUGCAUGUCGCCACACUGUUGAUAUGUUGCUGCUGCUACUCAGCGCCCCGCAGGGAUGGCGACGUGGUUGGGCGCCUCGGGGCACCGCUGUGUGCGGAAUUGGCAACGAUGCAUUGUGCGCCUGUGAGAUGGAGGGCCUCGUCACUCAGCGGCCGAUGACCGUCUCCUUCGCCUUUCUGUGUCGCCUAAUCACUCUCGUAGAGAAAAGUGCUGAUAACGUAUUGUAGAAUGAAUGCAAAG